Molecule: ribosomal RNA, 253 nt
Filed under: uncultured bacterium
Lineage: Bacteria
Description: partial 16S ribosomal RNA
Rfam family: Bacterial small subunit ribosomal RNA
Source: RNAcentral
UACGAAGGGGGCUAGCGUUGUUCGGAUUCAUUGGGCGUAAAGGGUGCGUAGGCGGCGCGGUAAGUCGGGUGUGAAAUCUCGGGGCUUAACUCCGAAACUGCAUUCGAUACUGCCGUGCUUGAGGACUGGAGAGGAGACUGGAAUUUACGGUGUAGCGGUGAAAUGCGUAGAUAUCGUAAGGAAGACCAGUGGCGAAGGCGGGUCUCUGGACAGUUCCUGACGCUGAGGCACGAAGGUCAGGGGAGCAAACGGG